GAUACUUGUCACUCGGAGAAGCCUUCGGAAGAUGGUGUUAAAAAGGCGCCAGGUGGAGGCCGGCGGCUUGCUGCUGGGAUGCAGAUGGACAGUCCUUGCUUCUGGUCCCUUCGGGUUUCCCAGGCGAGAGACGGCAGUGGUCUGCAGAGCAUCAGCCUCCAUCUGCUCUCCGGCCCUUGCCGAGGUAUCUCUCCAGGCUUGAGUCUUGCUUUAUGACACCUGCCGACAGCAGGCAAUUGGGAAACUUGGCGGUUUGUUGAGGGACCUGACAAAUCCUGAAGAUAAAGAACUGGAGAGAGCUGGGGAGAUAGCUCAACUGGAUGGGAAAGCUUCAAAGAAAGCGAUGUGUCACUUUCGCAUGCUUUACCACUACACCCUAGACAUCUGGGCCAUGUGAUUCUGGGGGUGUCCUGGGUACAGUCGGUGUUUAGCAGCUUGCCUGGUGUCUUGGACAAUACUAACCCUUUCCUGGAUAUGUUAUGCUUGGAAUGUGCUGGAAACCUGGGGUAGUGAAAUGCACGUCAGCAAAGCAACUUGGUUCUCAACUAGAUCAUGAAUCAGCUGCAUGAUGGGUAACUCCUUGGGCAGGUAACCCUACUUCUCUGAGGCUACCUAGCAGGAUCUGUCCUUUCUACAAGUACAAAAGCCUUCAUUGAGGGCACAGAAAUCCAACAGGCACUAAAGAUGUGGCAUACACAGCUGACAACAGUCCAAGUGUGGUGGCUCACACCUACAAUCCCAGUCUGCAGGGAGGCUAAAGCACUAACAUCGCUUCGAUUCCAAGAUCAGCCUGGCCUACGUGGUGAGUUCCAGGCUAACCUGGUAGAAGGUCCUUGACUCAAAACAAACAAAGAAACAGUAUUAUUUUGCUGUUUUGUGAGGUCCCAG
Long non-coding RNA from Mus musculus (house mouse), 888 nucleotides. RefSeq annotates it as predicted gene, 35076. The record is from RefSeq and is a predicted model, not a curated record. NCBI's taxonomy places the organism in Eukaryota, Metazoa, Chordata, Mammalia, Rodentia, Muridae. The transcript has 6 exons.